UGCCCCAUGGCUGAGUUGGUUACAGCGUCCGACUGUUAUCCGCGUCUAGCAGAAACCAUAUCGGAAGGUCGUGAGUUCGAGCCUCACUGGGGCAG
Non-coding RNA from Gloeopeniophorella convolvens, 95 nucleotides. The record is from the annotation of a GenBank genome assembly. Lineage: Eukaryota; Fungi; Basidiomycota; Agaricomycetes; Russulales.